Homo sapiens (human) is the source of this 1654-nucleotide long non-coding RNA. Ensembl annotates it as testis expressed 14B, pseudogene. Its record names the gene TEX14BP. NCBI's taxonomy places the organism in Eukaryota, Metazoa, Chordata, Mammalia, Primates, Hominidae. The record is from Ensembl.
AUACAGCCGGCCGGAUCAUGUGGCAGUCAGGUGGCGACCACUAUCUAGCCCAACGUUGCUGGAGUUGUUGCAGCUCUGCCGGGCCCACAUAUCAGCGUUCGUGCAUGACGGUGAGUUGCCACCCAUGGCAUCUCUGGACCAGUUGCAGGCCAGAUUUGGGAACAGCCCGCCUGGCUCCCUGUCCUCCCUGAGGCUGAUGCAGGCAGACAGCCUCCUGUGGAUGGGUCACAAAAUGACUGUGCAGCAGCCGAAGGCCCCUGGAACCCAGACAGAUGUGCUACUGGCUGACCUUCAGCACUGCAGGUCCCUGUCCAGCAGCCGUCGGCUCACCAGGGCCCUUGGGCUCCACAGGCAGCAGAAGGGCUACCCCUGGGGAGGCCCAGGCCCAGGGCUUCCCCCGCCCCCUGAACUACACCCAUGGCUGCCACUUCAGCUGAUCUGCGGUGACAUGCCCACCACCACCUCAGACCUCUACAGCUUCUGCAUCCUGAUCCAGGAGGUCUUCACUGAGAAACUGUACAUCAAGUGGCUCACAGAGCCAAGACCACACCCAGGCCUGUGGCCCCUGUGAUGUCCCCAGGCCCCAUCCCAUGCCAGGCCUGAGACUCCUGAGGUCAGAGACCACAGCAGGAUCCCAAGGGGUGCAGCCUGGAACUUGGGCAGCAGCUUGACUCUAGGCAGCAGCUCUGGGCCCAGCCCAGGACCCAGCCCUGGGUCUGGCCACAGCCCCACAGCCAGGGUCAGCCUGCACUGCUGCCUGGAGCCCAGCUCAACAGUACAGAUACCCCCAGAGCCCUGCACAACUGUCCCACUGCUAACCUGUGACCCCCUCCGCCCGCCCUCCAGGAGUCACCAACCCGAAGUUCCCUGGCUGCCUCUCCUUUGACCAGGGAACUUUAGGGUCGCCCAACUGUCCCCUCACUCACCUAUGACCCUUAACCAACCCUGCUUCCCCCAGGGCCCUUCCCUGCACUCCAACUCCAGCCUCUAGGACUCAGCCUCCCUGCUGGGGACCCAGAGCUCUGCGGAACAGUUUGAGGAAGCUCUCAGCCAAGAUUCCAGCCCUGCAGGGGCUGCUGCGGCGCACACACAGGGUUAUUCUGCUGGAGCCCCAGCCCUGUGAGCCCAUCCCCAGCCUGCUGACCCACAGGGAGGCUUCCCACACACUGGGAGGCUGCUGGCAGGGAAGGCCACGAGGGCAGGCUAAGCAGAGGACCCCGAGCUCAGCCUGUGCCCCAUCUGCCCUCCCAGGCCCGCUGGAGCACCAUGGCUACCAGGUGGCAGCUCCAGCCUUCUCUCCUGCAGGCACCCGGUACUGAGCUGACUAGAGGAGGUCUCUUCUCCAGCCUGCAGAAGUGAGACCCGAGGCCUUGGAUGGGAGGACCCCAGGUAACCCUAGGUCUUUAUCCCUGAGGUAACCCUAGGUCUACCUGUGCCUCACUGCUCCCCAGGAUGGACCUGCUGGAGGAGAUCAUAGCAGAGCUACAAAAAGGAUGUCAGCUUGGAGAAAAGCCCAGCCUGAGCCCCACUCCUGACCUAGACUCCCAGGGUGCCCAUGGUUCCCCUCUCUGCAGAUACCACCUCUCAGAGGCUCCCAGGAGUAACUCCUGCCUUGGUGCCUCCCCAAAAGGAAAUAGAAUGAUAAAGUGCCCCC